AAAUAUCGUGACAGAAUCUUUUCCCAAAAGUUAUCAGAAUGAUUGUAUCGACAAUUUUUCUCAGUUUGUUACUGACUUUCUUAUCAUGUGUCCAGUCGGAGGUUGUUUUGACUCAGCCAGAAGCAGAGACUGGACGUCCCGCUGGCAGUCUGCGACUGACCUGUAAAACCAGCGGGUUCAAUCUUGGCAGCAACUACAUGCACUGGGUCCGACAAGUUCCCGGCAAGGGCCUGGAAUGGCUGCUGUACUACUAUCGUUCAUCCGACAAUAGCUAUGCACCAGCGAUUAUGGGCCGAUUUACUGCGUCCAAAGAGAUUUCAAGCAACAUUUUUGCGUUGAACAUGAAAAACCUGAAGAUCAAAGACACCGCAAUCUAUUACUGUGCAAGAGCAGUGGGGAGCUGGAUUCACACUGCAAUUAUGAUCGAUACAAAAACCUUUCAGCCCCUAUUGUUUGAAACAAGUCAGUGAUUAAUUCUACAAACCGUCUUAACUUGCAGUGCAGUAUUAGUUCUGUGGGUUUUUGUGCAUGUUUAAUUUGUAAAAGUGGUGAUAAUUAUUGAUACACCAAUUGGUGAUUUUGAGAAUCAGCUCAAGUGUAACUCUGUGAAGUAUAAAACAAUACACUUCAAUUUAUCAAGAAUGUUCAGAAUUCACUCGCACAUGUGAUGAAGAUUUAUCGUGACUUUAUUUUGCCUGUGGCUCCGAAAUUUUAAUGGUAGAUUUUUGGUUUGUUUUAUGCAGAGCUACUUAUUGUGUGGCCCAGUGUAGAUAACGUAACAUUGUGUCUAUCUUGAUGACUGGGGCCAAGGGACCA
This is a non-coding RNA of Chiloscyllium plagiosum (whitespotted bambooshark), 816 nucleotides long. The record is from the annotation of a RefSeq genome assembly. Lineage: Eukaryota; Metazoa; Chordata; Chondrichthyes; Orectolobiformes; Hemiscylliidae.